UACGGAGGGUGCAAGCGUUAAUCGGAAUUACUGGGCGUAAAGCGCACGCAGGCGGUCUGUCAAGUCGGGUGUGAAAUCCCCGGGCUCAACCUGGGAACUGCAUUCGAAACUGUCAGGCUAGAGUCUGGGAGAGGGGGGUAGAAUUCCAGGUGUAGCGGUGAAAUGCGUAGAGAUUUGGAGGAAUACCGGUGGCGAAGGCGGCCCCCUGGACAGAUACUGACGCUCAGGUGCGAAAGCGUGGGGAGCAAACAGG
RNAcentral lists this unclassified non-coding RNA (253 nucleotides) under uncultured Enterobacteriaceae bacterium. RNAcentral's name for it is "contains 16S-23S intergenic spacer region". It matches the Rfam family "Bacterial small subunit ribosomal RNA", at positions 524 to 776 of the family's 1533-position model. The record is from RNAcentral. Lineage: Bacteria; Pseudomonadati; Pseudomonadota; Gammaproteobacteria; Enterobacterales; Enterobacteriaceae.